UACGUAGGGUGCAAGCGUUAAUCGGAAUUACUGGGCGUAAAGCGUGCGCAGGCGGUUUUGUAAGUCUGUCGUGAAAGCCCCGGGCUCAACCUGGGAAUGGCGAUGGAUACUGGCUCGCUAGAGUGCGGUAGAGGAGAGUGGAAUUCCCGGUGUAGCAGUGAAAUGCGUAGAGAUCGGGAGGAACAUCAGUUGCGAAGGCGGCUCUCUGGACCAGCACUGACACUGAGGCACGAAAGCGUGGGGAGCAAACAGGA
Molecule: ribosomal RNA, 254 nt
Filed under: uncultured bacterium
Lineage: Bacteria
Description: partial 16S ribosomal RNA
Rfam family: Bacterial small subunit ribosomal RNA
Source: RNAcentral